Molecule: ribosomal RNA, 207 nt
Filed under: uncultured bacterium
Lineage: Bacteria
Description: partial 16S ribosomal RNA
Rfam family: Bacterial small subunit ribosomal RNA
Source: RNAcentral
UCAGUAGGCGGUGUGGCAAGUUGGGAGUGAAAUCUCUGGGCUCAACCCAGAGGCUGCUUCCAAAACUGCUGUGCUUGAGUGUGGGAGAGGCGCGUGGAAUUGCAGGUGUAGCGGUGAAAUGCGUAGAUAUCUGCAGGAACACCCGUGGCGAAAGCGGCGCGCUGGACCACAACUGACGCUGAAUGACGAAAGCUAGGGGAGCAGACA